GAUGAACGCUGGCGGCGUGCUUAACACAUGCAAGUCGAGCGAUGAAGUUUCCUUCGGGAAACGGAUUAGCGGCGGACGGGUGAGUAACACGUGGGUAACCUGCCUCAUAGAGUGGAAUAGCUUUCCGAAAGGAAGAUUAAUACCGCAUAACGUUGAAAGAUGGCAUCAUCAUUCAACCAAAGGAGCAAUCCGCUAUGAGAUGGACCCGCGGCGCAUUAGCUAGUUGGUGGGGUAACGGCCUACCAAGGCGACGAUGCGUAGCCGACCUGAGAGGGUGAUCGGCCACAUUGGGACUGAGACACGGCCCAGACUCCUACGGGAGGCAGCAGUGGGGAAUAUUGCACAAUGGGGGAAACCCUGAUGCAGCAACGCCGCGUGAGUGAUGAAGGUUUUCGGAUCGUAAAGCUCUGUCUUUGGGGAAGAUAAUGACGGUACCCAAGGAGGAAGCCACGGCUAACUACGUGCCAGCAGCCGCGGUAAUACGUAGGUGGCGAGCGUUAUCCGGAUUUACUGGGCGUAAAGGGAGCGUAGGCGGAUGAUUAAGUGGGAUGUGAAAUACCCGGGCUCAACUUGGGUGCUGCAUUCCAAACUGGUUAUCUAGAGUGCAGGAGAGGAGAGUGGAAUUCCUAGUGUAGCGGUGAAAUGCGUAGAGAUUAGGAAGAACACCAGUGGCGAAGGCGACUCUCUGGACUGUAACUGACGCUGAGGCUCGAAAGCGUGGGGAGCANACAGG
Molecule: ribosomal RNA, 733 nt
Filed under: uncultured bacterium
Lineage: Bacteria
Description: bacterial SSU rRNA
Rfam family: Bacterial small subunit ribosomal RNA
Source: RNAcentral